AACCCCCCCAGCUAGGCUGGGGGUUCCGGAAAACGUCCUGCUUUGAGCCAGUUAUUAAAACCCCUUUUGAUUUGUUAAAACACUUUGCGGUCUGGCAACUGCAAGUGUCAAACAAGAAAUCAAAAA
Molecule: small RNA, 126 nt
Filed under: Escherichia coli
Lineage: Bacteria; Pseudomonadati; Pseudomonadota; Gammaproteobacteria; Enterobacterales; Enterobacteriaceae
Description: Hfq binding sRNA
Rfam family: STnc490 Hfq binding RNA
Source: RNAcentral